This 598-nucleotide ribosomal RNA is filed under the name uncultured bacterium. Its description in RNAcentral is "bacterial SSU rRNA". It matches the Rfam family "Bacterial small subunit ribosomal RNA", at positions 192 to 809 of the family's 1533-position model. The record is from RNAcentral.
GCGCCCGGGCUAAAGCCCCGACGGGAGGGGAUGGCUCCGCGGCCCAUCAGGUAGACGGCGGGGUGACGGCCCACCGUGCCGACAACGGGUAGCCGGGUUGAGAGACCGACCGGCCAGAUUGGGACUGAGACACGGCCCAGACUCCUACGGGAGGCAGCAGUGGGGAAUCUUGCGCAAUGGGGGGAACCCUGACGCAGCGACGCCGCGUGCGGGACGGAGGCCUUCGGGUCGUAAACCGCUUUCAGCAGGGAAGAGUCAAGACUGUACCUGCAGAAGAAGCCCCGGCUAACUACGUGCCAGCAGCCGCGGUAAUACGUAGGGGGCGAGCGUUAUCCGGAUUCAUUGGGCGUAAAGCGCGCGUAGGCGGCCCGGCAGGCCGGGGGUCGAAGCGGGGGGCUCAACCCCCCGAAGCCCCCGGAACCUCCGCGGCUUGGGUCCGGUAGGGGAGGGUGGAACACCCGGUGUAGCGGUGGAAUGCGCAGAUAUCGGGUGGAACACCGGUGGCGAAGGCGGCCCUCUGGGCCGAGACCGACGCUGAGGCGCGAAAGCUGGGGGAGCGAACAGGAUUAGAUACCCUGGUAGUCCCAGCCGUAAACGA